GAGAGAGAGAGAGACAGAGAACCCCACUGUAGGGAGAGAAUGAAGCUCAAAACUUACAUGGAAUUGAAAAAGACAUGAAGGAGCUAAGGGAAAUCAUCUCUGAUUAUGAAAUUCAAGCUUGAGAUAAGCAUUCUAAGUCUUAACUUUGUAGAAAAAUCCUCUACACAUCUUGAAUUAAGGUCAAGUGCAAGGAUGAAUCGAGCAUCGGAACAUUAUGGAUGUCGGUUCCAAUCAACGUCGAUUAGUAACAGCUUUGAAUAGAAGACUCCGUGAAUUAGAGAAUGCUAAAUGUGGACGUGGACGUAGACGUAGACGUAGAUAUGGACCUACUCAAGUGCAUAAUGAUGAUGCAUACAUUGCCAUAGAUGAUAAUCCUAUACAUGAUGCACCAACUAUGGAUGAUAUUGCUAUAUUGGUGAUGAUAUUGAUAUUGUUGAUGAAGAUAUCCUUACUAAUCCAUUUCUAGGAGGGCCAAUGAAUCCAUCAAUCCAUAAAAGUUUUAAAAGUCAUGUUGCUACAACUAUAGAUGCUACAUUUGUAAACAUUGUGAAGCUAUCAGGGCUUGCACAUUUAGCUCAUUGCAUAUAUUGCUUCGUCAACAAAAUUGUU
Molecule: non-coding RNA, 609 nt
Organism: Camellia sinensis
Lineage: Eukaryota; Viridiplantae; Streptophyta; Magnoliopsida; Ericales; Theaceae
Source: RefSeq, a predicted model, not a curated record